GAGCAGGCGUCACAGCCUUUGGCUCCAGGCCAGCAGCAGGGCAGAUGGCUGCGUCACCUGGUGGUCACCACACGGUGUGAUAGGCACCCUGAUGGGGACCCUGAGGCUACUGGGGUCCCUGCCUGCAUGGUCCGGGGCGCACACCCCACCACGGAUGUCCCACCCAUGGCCCCCUUGCCCUACCACCGGCGAGGCCCUUCACCUGGGGCAGGGCCUGUGGCUCCCCCUUGGUCUCCCUUAGAGCCAAGCUCUUGCCAGCACCUUUUGGGACAGGCCCAGUCCUGGUACCGCCCAGGAACCCACUGACUGGACAGGCUUUGAUUGUCCGACUUCCCACCAAUGGGGACCAGGAAUUGGGCUCCUCCCGGGUGCCCCAGACUGGGUGAAGCAGAGGGUGAGCCAAACCGGCAUGGCCCGGGGCUGCCAGGCAUGAGCGUUGACCAGUUCUGGCCCAGGCUGGGUGCCAGAGGACGUUCCCUAGGACCUGUGGGGUGUGGACCCCCAUCCAGCCACGGGGCCUGGCUCUCCUGCGUCUUCUCACUGGAUCCUCCAGGCAGCCCCCAGUGGCACGGUGACAUGGGACUGUGUGACCCCAUGUCAGAGCUAUGGAAGCCGAGGCCUGAGAGCAGCCACAGCCAGCCACCCCAGUGGGGCUGGAGGACCCGGUCCAUCAACGUGAACCAUUACACCAACAAGAAGAGCGCGGCUGAGAGCAUGCUGGACAUCGCACUGCUGAUGGCCAACGCCUCCCAGCUCAAGGCCGUCAUCGAUCAGGGCUCCAGCUUCGCCUUCUUCGUCCCCCUUGUCGUCCUCAUCUCCAUCUCCCUCGUGCUCCAGAUCGGUGUGGGCGUCCUGCUCAUCUUCCUGGUCAAGUAUGACCUUAACAACCCAGCCAAGCACGCCAAACUGGACUUCCUCAACAACCUCGCCACAGGCCUCGUCUUCAUCAUCGUGGUGGUCAACAUCUUCAUCACAGCCUUUGGCGUCCAGAAGUCUGUGCCUAUCACAGCAUCCCAGCAGUAGGGUAGACCAGGUGCGCCACAACUUAACUAAUAACAGUGUCUUCAAGAGGUCCUGUCUACACUGGAUUCCCACCCACAGGGAGGCGGAUUAAGAAGAAGAACGUGCUUUUCCUGGGGCAUGUAAUUCAGCCACUACAGUGGGCCAUGAUGACUUGAAUCUCCCAGACCCACCUGCCCGUGGCCUGGUCACACACAGACACCCGGAGCUGCUGCAUUUCGGGGACCUCCUGAGCCUGCCCAGGGCCCAGUUGGCCUGACAUGGACUGAACUCAGGCCGAGCUGCCCACCCUCGCCUGCAGCCCAAGGAGGACCUGCCUCCUGGCUUGGCUGCACUUCCCAGGAGACACCUGGUGGCCUCCUGGGCACCUUGGGGCUGGUGGCGAGGCCCAGAAGGUCAGAACUGGAGAGCCCCCAAGAGGUGGGCCCCCACUUUCCAGCUGGGCCAGCGAGGCUCAUAGAGGGCCAUGACCCACCCAGAGAUACACAGCAAGUCCAUGGACAUACCAGUGCAAGUGCCCAGGGCCGGGCCACCUCCUGGGUGUCAGGUCCUCUGACUCAGGACAUUCCCAGAGGGACAAGGAGAUGCCACCUCUCCCUCUGCCAAUGCCACCAGCUUCCCAGGCCUCCACGGGGCCUGCCCAAGUCUCCCCAGCUGAUUUGAUGCCUUUCUCCUGCGUCCUGUCCAGGGGACACGUGACACUCCAGACCUCCCCUCCAGCACCAGUCUUGGUGGCUGGGGUCGGGCCACAGUGCCUUGGCUGUGGUGGCCCCCCGGGAGGGAGCCGGGGGGCCAGUAUGAGUGGGCCCUAUGGCCAGACCCCUGGCUGCCCUCCACCAGCAGGGACAGGGCCAAGCCCUGAGCCCCACCCUCCUCGGGGGUUCCAAGCCCCAGCUUGUUUCCUAAGCACGAAAUGACCAAUAAAGCUCACCAUCCUCUUCAUCUA
RNA transcript from Choloepus didactylus (southern two-toed sloth), 1966 nucleotides. It is a transcript of the gene named ninjurin 1, with no coding region annotated. Lineage: Eukaryota; Metazoa; Chordata; Mammalia; Pilosa; Megalonychidae. The record is from RefSeq and is a predicted model, not a curated record. The transcript has 5 exons.